This 2224-nucleotide long non-coding RNA is filed under the name Ananas comosus (pineapple). Its description in RNAcentral is "long non-coding RNA (ACOM_LNC032093)". The record is from RNAcentral. Lineage: Eukaryota; Viridiplantae; Streptophyta; Magnoliopsida; Poales; Bromeliaceae.
GAGCUUCUGAGUUUACAUAAUAAAAGGUUCUUAAGGCUUCGUUUGGUUCGGAUAUAAACAAAAAUUAGUUAUACCGGGGAUAGGUAUAAGUAUGGAUUUUCGUAAAAACAAGAAUAUUUUUUUGUUUGGAUGAAAAUGUGAGUAUAAGGUGGAAUAGUUGGUAGUUAUAAAUAGAAAAUAAUAAUAUUACCCCUAUAAUUGAAUUAAAAUUUUUUAACUGAAAAUUUUAAAUUAAAAAUUUUAACUUUUACAUUUUAAAUUUUGAAAUUAAAUUUAAAAUUUUAAUUUUCAAAAUUUUAAUUUAAAUAUCUAAUUUUAAAUUUAAGACCAAAUUUAAAUUUGAAAGAUAUAAAAUAUCAAAUUUAAAAUUUAAAAACUAAAAAUAUCAUAUUUAAAAUUUUAAAAUUUAAAAAUAUCAAAUUUAAAAUUUAAACUUUAAAAUUUAUAAUUUAAAAUUAUAAAUUUUAAAUUUUAAAAAUAAAAAUCUCUCUCUCUCUCUCUCUCGUACCGUGGGGUGGAACAAGUUGUUGUUCCACCCCUAGGUGGGAACACUUGUUCCCACUCUAUACCCGAUUGUAUCGGAUAGGUGGGAACAAGUGUUCCCAGCCCUCAAUUUUUUCGUUUGGGUACAAGAGUGGGGAUAAUCCUUUUAUCCCCCCUCUUAUAUAUCCAAUCCGAACGGGGUGUAAAAGACCAAUGAAUGAUAGGAGUGUGAAUAGGUAUUUUAGGUAUGUUUGUGAUUAAUUAAUCAAUUCAACAAGAUUAUAAAUUAAAAGUGUGUUAAUAAAGAAAAAAGAAAUUAGUUUAAGAGGUCAAUUCAAAAUAGCGUGGCGUAAUAAAGGGACGUACGUACGGCCUGGGUACAUUUUUACCAGUAAUUUAUUUAUAUAGAAAAAGAGUUCUAGUAUAAAACUUGACAUUGAAAAAAAAAAAAAAAGAAAAAGAAAAAGAAAAGAAGAACUAAGAAAUUUAAGCUAAUGUGCUUUUAGAAGACACAAGUCAUAUAUUUAUCAUAACAUGAAUCAUUAACUAUGACACUCUUAAUUUCCAAAUUUAAGAUACAAACAAAAGAAUUAAUACACAUACUAUUUUUUUCUUUUGUUUUUGUUUUUUUUUUUUUUCCUGUGCGCACUUGCCGUGCAUAUUGAAGAUCUAAUAAAUCCAAACAACCUUACAAAUAAACAAUCUUCACACAGGAAUGAAUACGCNAGAUUCGCUAAUCUAAAGCUGUGCAGUUAAAGAUAUACAAUUCGAAACAUAUAUAAACUCAACUAAAUUUAUAUUAUUUUAAUUAAACUGCUAGCCGAAUUAAUCCCAUAUAUUAAUCCCUGACGUUUUAAGUUUUGAAACCACUUAAUCUUCACAUACUGGAUAAAAGAUGGGCGGUCCAUAGCUAAAUUGGUGGUCUAAAUCCAUGCUAUAUAUGUAUGUUCUAUGUUAAAUGACCUGGUUAUAUAUAUAUAUACACGAGCUAUUACUCAUUUUCCAAGCCAUCCUUCACAAGUCAACUUAACCAAUAAAUAAAUUAAUAAAAAUGCUUUAAUAUUAGAAAAAACGACUAACUCGCACAAAUCCUGAUAUUAAAAAAUAAUUUGGACGACGCAGCUCAAUCUCAAAGGCUAUUACUUUGUCCUGAUUGAGACAAAAACAAUUAAUUUUUUGGACAAGUUGGAGUUCUUCUAGUUUAUUAUAGUUGGAACUGUCAAUUGUAGGGAGUUGUCUCCAGCUAAUCAAAGUUCUUUGUUCCGUAUGCUACUGCCACACGAAAUCUGGCGGCGGCGGCGGCGGCGGCGGCGGCGGCGGAGGAGAUAAACAAAGCUGCAGGCGGUGUCGAGAGGAUGGACCUCUCUCUCGAAAUUCAACCGCAAAGUCCACGAUCAUCCCCAGCCCAAGGCCUAAAGGCUGACCGAAAAGCCUAAGAAUCAAAGAGCUUCUGAGCUUACAUAAUAAAAGGUUCUUAAGACUUCGUUUGGUUCGGAUAUAAACAAAAAUUAGUUAUAUCGGGGAUAGGUACAAGUAUAGAUUUUCGUAGAAACAAGAAUAUUUUUUUAUUUGGAUGAAAAUAUGAGUAUAAGGUAGAAUAGUUGGUAGUUAUAAAUAGAAAAUAAUGAUAUUACCUCUAUAAUUGAAUUUAAAUUUUUAAACUGAAAAUUUUAAAUUAAAAAUUUUAACUUUUACAUUUUAAAUUUUGAAAUUAAAUUUAAAAUUUUAAUUUUCAAAAUUU